Molecule: ribosomal RNA, 908 nt
Filed under: Boeremia exigua var. exigua
Lineage: Eukaryota; Fungi; Ascomycota; Dothideomycetes; Pleosporales; Didymellaceae
Description: LSU rRNA
Rfam family: Eukaryotic large subunit ribosomal RNA
Source: RNAcentral
ACCCGCUGAACUUAAGCAUAUCAAUAAGCGGAGGAAAAGAAACCAACAGGGAUUGCCCUAGUAACGGCGAGUGAAGCGGCAACAGCUCAAAUUUGAAAUCUGGCGUCUUUGGCGUCCGAGUUGUAAUUUGCAGAGGGCGCUUUGGCAUUGGCAGCGGUCCAAGUUCCUUGGAACAGGACGUCACAGAGGGUGAGAAUCCCGUACGUGGUCGCUAGCCUUUACCGUGUAAAGCCCCUUCGACGAGUCGAGUUGUUUGGGAAUGCAGCUCUAAAUGGGAGGUAAACUUCUUCUAAAGCUAAAUACUGGCCAGAGACCGAUAGCGCACAAGUAGAGUGAUCGAAAGAUGAAAAGCACUUUGGAAAGAGAGUUAAAAAGCACGUGAAAUUGUUGAAAGGGAAGCGCUUGCAGCCAGACUUGCCUGUAGUUGCUCAUCCGGGUUUUUACCCGGUGCACUCUUCUAUAGGCAGGCCAGCAUCAGUUUGGGCGGUUGGAUAAAGGUCUCUGUCACGUACCUCCUCUCGGGGAGAACUUAUAGGGGAGACGUAAUGCAACCAGCCUGGACUGAGGUCCGCGCAUCUGCUAGGAUGCUGGCGUAAUGGCUGUAAGCGGCCCGUCUUGAAACACGGACCAAGGAGUCUAACAUCUAUGCGAGUGUUUGGGUGUCAAGCCCGAGCGCGUAAUGAAAGUGAACGGAGGUGGGAACCUUUCGGGGUGCACCAUCGACCGAUCCUGAUGUCUUCGGAUGGAUUUGAGUAAGAGCAUAGCUGUUGGGACCCGAAAGAUGGUGAACUAUGCUUGAAUAGGGUGAAGCCAGAGGAAACUCUGGUGGAGGCUCGCAGCGGUUCUGACGUGCAAAUCGAUCGUCAAAUUUGGGCAUAGGGGCGAAAGACUAAUCGAACUAUCUAGUA